This 911-nucleotide ribosomal RNA is filed under the name uncultured crenarchaeote. RNAcentral's name for it is "bacterial SSU rRNA". It matches the Rfam family "Archaeal small subunit ribosomal RNA", at positions 1 to 921 of the family's 1478-position model. Lineage: Archaea; Thermoproteati; Thermoproteota. The record is from RNAcentral.
UUCCGGUUGAUCCCGCCGGACCCGACUGCUAUCAGAAUAGGACUAAGCCAUGCGAGUCAACGUAGCAAUACGUGGCAUACGGCUCAGUAACACGUAGUCAACAUGCCCAGGGGACGUGGAUAACCUCGGGAAACUGAGGAUAAACCGCGAUAGGCCAUGAUUUCUGGAAUGGUUCAUGGCCGAAAUCUAUAUGGCCCCUGGAUUGGACUGCGGCCGAUCAGGCUGUUGGUGAGGUAAUGGCCCACCAAACCUGUAACCGGUACGGGCUCUGAGAGGAGGAGCCCGGAGAUGGGCACUGAGACAAGGGCCCGGGCCCUAUGGGGCGCAGCAGGCGCGAAAUCUCUGCAAUAGGCGAAAGCUUGACAGGGUUACUCUGAGUGAUUCCCGCUAAGGGAAUCUUUUGGCAUCUCUAAAAAUGGUGCAGAAUAAGGGGUGGACAAGUCUGGUGUCAGCCGCCGCGGUAAUACCAGCACCCCGAGUGGUCGGGACGAUUAUUGGGCCUAAAGCAUCCGUAGCCGGUCCUGCAAGUCUUCCGUUAAAUCCAGCUGCUCAACAGAUGGGCUGCGGAGGAUACUACAGGGCUAGGAGGCGGGAGAGGCAAGCGGUACUUUAUGGGUAGGGGUAAAAUCCGUUGAUCCAUAGAAGACCACCAGUGGCGAAGGCGGCUUGCCAGAACGCGCUCGACGGUGAGGGAUGAAAGCUGGGGGAGCAAACCGGAUUAGAUACCCGGGUAGUCCCAGCUGUAAACGAUGCAGACUCGGUGAUGGGUUGGCCUUGUGCCAACCCAGUGCCGCAGGGAAGCCGUUAAGUCUGCCGCCUGGGGAGUACGGUCGCAAGACUGAAACUUAAAGGAAUUGGCGGGGGAGCACCACAAGGGGUGAAGCCUGCGGUUCAAUUGGAGUCAACGCCGA